This 84-nucleotide transfer RNA is filed under the name Candidatus Gottesmanbacteria bacterium. Its description in RNAcentral is "tRNA-Ser". It matches the Rfam family "tRNA". Rfam says of the family: Transfer RNA (tRNA) molecules are approximately 80 nucleotides in length. Lineage: Bacteria; Candidatus Gottesmaniibacteriota. The record is from RNAcentral.
GGAGGGGUCGGAUAAUGGUAUUCCACCAGUCUUGAAAACUGGCGCCCCGCAAGGGGCUUGCAGGUUCGACUCCUGUCCCCUCCG